Long non-coding RNA from Cygnus olor (mute swan), 744 nucleotides. RefSeq lists it as uncharacterized. Lineage: Eukaryota; Metazoa; Chordata; Aves; Anseriformes; Anatidae. The transcript is spliced from 3 exons. The record is from RefSeq and is a predicted model, not a curated record.
CCUUCCCUAUCGCCAUUCUCAUCCCUACACUUCCCCAUCUCCAUCCCUCUCCUCUUGAAGCUGUUGAAAAUUAACAGCUCAAAUUAAGAGCACUUCUGGGCUUGUCGACAGCUUAACCCGUUGCAACAGUAUUUCACACCGCACAGAGGACACCAGAGCUUGUCAGCGAUUCCUUCGUCUUUAUUUUCUCUUCAGUUUGAAAUGUCAGGGGUGUAAGCCCAGCAGAUUUUGGAGGACUCUGUUUGUUAUGACAAGAUCACGAUGGAAGCGAGGCAAGGUUCCUCCAGCCUGGCAUCGCUCAUCUCUUUCUGAACCCUUACUUCUAAACCUUCCCCACAGAGGCAAUCCUUCACUUCACUGUUCUCUGCCUCUUGCUCAGAGUGCAAAAUUAAAAAAGCAACAACAACAACGGCAACAAUUUCCAGAAAUAAGACGGGCCUCCAAGUUCAUCUGUCUGGAGCCCAAUAUAGGUAUGAAGGCACGAUGUGCAUGACUUUAUCCUUCCAGUCUUACCAGGAGAGAGCACGGGGGCAGGAACAGGACUCAGCUAUGCCUGAUGGGGCAGGAGGCUCCACUUCCAGAUGUUGAAUGAAGAUUCCCUUCCACUGCAGAUGUAGAAGAGACAACACAACACGAGAAGUCUCAAAUUCUUCUCGUUGUCCGUUUUUUCCAAUUUCCUAAUGAUGGAGGGUCAAUGCGACCAGCACUGCACAUCGCUGCUCUACUUCCCUACCUCAAAUGUGC